RNAcentral lists this ribosomal RNA (215 nucleotides) under Clostridioides difficile. RNAcentral describes it as "partial 23S ribosomal RNA". It matches the Rfam family "Bacterial large subunit ribosomal RNA", at positions 2418 to 2632 of the family's 2925-position model. Lineage: Bacteria; Bacillati; Bacillota; Clostridia; Peptostreptococcales; Peptostreptococcaceae. The record is from RNAcentral.
AUCCGGUGGUUCUGCGUGGAAGGGCCAUCGCUCAACGGAUAAAAGCUACCCUGGGGAUAACAGGCUUAUCUCCCCCAAGAGUCCACAGCGACGGGGAGGUUUGGCACCACGAUGUCGGCUCAUCACAGCCUGGGGCUGUAGUAGGUCCCAUGGGUUGGGCUGUUCGCCCAUUAAAGUGGUACGCGAGCUGGGUUCAGAACGUCGUGAGACAGUUC